Molecule: long non-coding RNA, 2360 nt
Filed under: Cinara cedri
Lineage: Eukaryota; Metazoa; Arthropoda; Insecta; Hemiptera; Aphididae
Source: RNAcentral
GGUUAACAAAAGAUUAGUCAGUUGUGAAGUAUUAAAAAACAGGCUGUGAUUCUUUCAAAACUGUAAGUAUUUUAUAAUUCUAUUAUUUUAUAUUAAUAUUAAAUUAAAGUUUUAUAUACAGAGUAUGAUGUAGAUAUCUAUCUAUCUAUCUGUCUAAUGUAUUACUUGUACGUUACCGGUAAAGUAGAAGGUCUGCGCAUUGUAUUAUACCCAGAUUCAAGUGGGUAAAGUAGAUUAAAUACAGUGUACAUAUUUUAUUUAUUUGAUAUUACAACUUUUGAAAUUAGUUUUUCUUUCACCUUCAUUCCAACUAUUUUGGGUCGGCUACCCUGGUCUUAAACUUCUACUAGACCCAAUCUCUCAUCAUGUAUAUACCUAACAUAACUGAUUGUUUUCAUAUCAUAUAAUUUUCAAUUGUAUCUCAAUUUAAUUAUUUUCUAAUAAUUUUUAAAGCUUAAGAAUUUAAGAGAAGCAAGAAAUGUACUGUUUUUAUAAUGAUGUUUUUUUUUUCUUAUUUUUUUUUUAUCUGUAAAUAACUCUUCUGACAAAUCUUGCUCUGAUUAUCAAGUGUUGUUUAAUUUCUGAAAGGAAAUUUUAUCUGGGUAAUAUUUUAGGGAAGUCGUAUUUGAUUUUCUAAGCAUAAUAAUUAAGAAAAAAAAUGUGAAAAUUUACGAAAUGUGUUAUUUUUAAUUUUGUUGUGAUUCAGUUAAAAAUAAUCGUAAAGAUUUGGAAUUUGAGCAGAAAACUUGUGAUUGUCAUUUCUAUAGUUGGGACAAUUUUAAAAACAUUUUAGACAUUUUAAUUUUGAGAGUUUUAUGUUAUUUUUAUUCAGUAGAUUUGGUAUUUUAUCUAUGAAAAAUAUUAUUAGACCAAACAGAAAUGCUUGAAAAUUUAACAGGAGAUUCAUUAUAAGUCGUACUUUAUGGACAAAAAAAUCAGGUAUAAAGGGGUAAACCACGGGUGACCGGUACUAAAAAUCUCAAUGAUAAAUUUAUGCUGUAAAUUUACGUGUACAUUAUUUUUUAUCAAACAUUUUUGUAAUUUAUUAGAAAAGUUUGUAACUCAGUGCCAUAAUUGGUGGUCCUUGUAAAAAUAAUAAAUAAACUUGCUAUAAUUUAAUAAUAUUAAUAUUAUUUUUAUCAAAACAUCUUUGUGUAAUAAUAUACAUAUUUCAAUAGAAGAUAUCUAACAACGUUUCAAUGGAUAAUAAAUUUAAAAGUUCAAUUUAUUUUGUUUAUUAAAAUAUGUAUCUAGUAUGGUGUUUUGUUUAAUUUUAAAUAUUUUCUAUACAUAUUAUUACUCUGCAACUUGUCAUUGUAUAUCAGUGUUUCUCAAUCCAGGGGUUGCAUUAGUCAGAAAUAAUUAAACACUGAUGUGGGAAAACAACCUUAUAUUUUUAUAAAGUAUUAAUUAAUUGCGAUUGUUUUAUAUAGAAAUGUUUGUUUAUUCAUGGUUUGACUUUGGAAACACAAAAAAUAUAUACUAUAUAUUUAGCAGUUACUUAUAACAGUACUUAAUUAUUGACACUUUAUAGCAACUUAUUAUGCUGUAAUUAUUAAUUUCAGAAAUUUUUUUCAAUCCCAUCUAAAAUAUAUGAUGCAAAAUCUAAAGUUGAAGAAGAUUAUUAAUACUUUUGCUGGUGGAUGACAUUCAGCUGCAAUAACUAAGUAUAAUGAUCUCUACAUAUGGGGUUGGAAUUAUUCUGGAUAACUAGGGAUUUCAAACUCUCCAGGUAAAAUAUCUUAUGAAUUAAUCUUUUGUUAAAAAUUAUUUAACAAUUAAAGAAUCUUAAUUUCAAUCUGCAUGAAAAUAAUUGAUAAAUAAACUUGUUGUGGUAUUCAUUCAAUGUAUUAAACAUUCUAAUCAGACUAUUUUUAGAUUAUUUUAUUUUACCGUAAGAAACUGUUACUAAUAAAAUGAUAAAUAAUUUAAUUUUAUAUGUUUUAUUGGUUUACGGCACUAGUUAAUGUACUGGAAAAUACGUUGAAACAGGUGAAAUAUAAUGUUGUGUGUUUUAACAUAUUUUUGAAAAAUAAAAAUAAAUUGUUCUAUUUAUAACAUUUUUACAGAUAAAAAAAUAUAAUAAUAACGCUGGAACCAGUAUUGAAUAAUUGGCCAGAAGAAACAGAUAUUGAACAAGUGAGUUUAGAAGUUAGGCAUCCAAUGGUUCUAUCUAAGAAUAAUGUUCUUUGGGGUUGUGGGUGGAAUGCUCACAAACAGAGCUUGGGUUAGAUACAUACCAAAUAACUUGUGAUUGAAUGGUUAAUUUAAGUAAUUUAUCGCUGUUAUUUAAGUACAAUGUGAAAAAAAUCAUUCAAGUAAUAUGUGUUGCGUAGAAUAGUGUUUUACUACUAGAGAAC